Molecule: ribosomal RNA, 423 nt
Filed under: uncultured prokaryote
Description: bacterial SSU rRNA
Rfam family: Bacterial small subunit ribosomal RNA
Source: RNAcentral
UAAGGAAUAUUGGUCAAUGGACGCAAGUCUGAACCAGCCAUGCCGCGUGCAGGAAGACGGCCCUACGGGUUGUAAACUGCUUUUGUACGGGAAAAAACCCCCGGUCGUGAAUCGGGGCUGAUGGUACCGUAAGAAUAAGCAUCGGCUAACUCCGUGCCAGCAGCCGCGGUAAUACGGAGGAUGCAAGCGUUAUCCGGAUUCAUUGGGUUUAAAGGGUGCGCAGGCGGAAUGAUAAGUCAGUGGUGAAAUCCUACGGCUCAACUGUAGAACUGCCAUUGAUACUGUUAUUCUUGAGUAUACUUGAAGUGGGCGGAAUGUGUCAUGUAGCGGUGAAAUGCUUAGAUAUGACAAGGAACACCGAUCGCGAAGGCAGCUCACUAAAGUAAAACUGACGCUCAGGCACGAAAGCGUGGGGAUCAAACA